Molecule: transfer RNA, 69 nt
Filed under: Clavatula tripartita
Lineage: Eukaryota; Metazoa; Mollusca; Gastropoda; Neogastropoda; Clavatulidae
Description: tRNA-Glu
Rfam family: tRNA
About the family: Transfer RNA (tRNA) molecules are approximately 80 nucleotides in length. Their secondary structure includes four short double-helical elements and three loops (D, anti-codon, and T loops). Further hydrogen bonds mediate the characteristic L-shaped molecular structure. tRNAs have two regions of fundamental functional importance: the anti-codon, which is responsible for specific mRNA codon recognition, and the 3' end, to which the tRNAs corresponding amino acid is attached (by aminoacyl-tRNA synthetases). tRNAs cope with the degeneracy of the genetic code in two manners: having more than one tRNA (with a specific anti-codon) for a particular amino acid; and 'wobble' base-pairing, i.e. permitting non-standard base-pairing at the 3rd anti-codon position.
Source: RNAcentral
GUUUCUAUGGUGUAGUAUUUGCACAUUAGAUUUUCGUUCUAAAGGUAUAAGAUUGACUUAUUAGAAAUA